RNAcentral lists this ribosomal RNA (468 nucleotides) under uncultured bacterium. RNAcentral's name for it is "partial 16S ribosomal RNA". It matches the Rfam family "Bacterial small subunit ribosomal RNA", at positions 28 to 507 of the family's 1533-position model. The record is from RNAcentral.
GACGAACGCUGGCGGCGUGCUUAACACAUGCAAGUCGAACGGAAAGGCCCUGCUUUUGUGGGUUGCUCGAGUGGCGAACGGGAGAGUAACACGUGAGUAACCUGCCCUUGACUUUGGGAUAACUUCAGGAAACUGGGGCUAAUACCGGAUAGGAGCUCCUGCUGCAUGGUGGGGGUUGGAAAGUUUCGGCGGUUGGGGAUGGACUCGCGGCUUAUCAGCUUGUUGGUGGGGUAGUGGCUUACAAAGGCUUUGACGGGUAGCCGGCCUGAGAGGGUGACCGGCCACAUUGGGACUGAGAUACGGACCAGACUCCUACGGGAGGCAGCAGUGGGGAAUAUUGCACAGUGGGCGGAAGCCUGAUGCAGAAACGCCGCGUGCGGGAUGACGGCCUUCGGGUUGUAAACCGCUUUCGCCUGAGACGAAGCGUGAGUGACGGUAAUGGGUAAAGAAGCACCGGCUAACUACGUG